This is a long non-coding RNA of Quercus lobata, 1706 nucleotides long. RefSeq lists it as uncharacterized. The record is from RefSeq and is a predicted model, not a curated record. Lineage: Eukaryota; Viridiplantae; Streptophyta; Magnoliopsida; Fagales; Fagaceae. The transcript is spliced from 4 exons.
CUAUUCUUCAAGCUUUGCAAGUAUAUAACAAAACUACUCUUGUAUGGAUGCUUACUAUGACAAAGGAUCUUGGCAGUUUAUGCCUCCUAUUAUUGACAUUUUCUUUAUGCUCAUGGCCUGGGUCCCUAAACAUCAGUAAUGCACAACGGCAUUGUACAAACACUUAGGACUAAAGUAGUGAAGCAACACAUCAAAAUAUAUAAAGGAAAAUUCAAUUAAGGAUUAUAAGUUAUAUUUAGAUAUUUUAAUCCAAUCUCAUAGUAUUUUUCACAUGCAUCAUUUUCAUUCCUAAGAUCCAUUGUAUUUCUACAAAACUUAAUGCAACACAAGGAGUGACAUUGAUCUACAGCUUUAUAUAGGCACACCCUGAACAUGUGUUAAUCUCUUUCAAAUUCCCAGUCUAUAGUUUCUUCAUUUAGGCACACAUUGAACAUGUGUUAAUGGUCUCUUUUUAGAUUUCUACACCCAUUGCUUCCAUGCUCUAGAAACCUUAAGAUCCCGAAGAUUUGCAAUCUCAUUACUGAAUUGGGAAUAAUACACAUUUCAUAGCUCAUUUAGAAUCUACACACCACAGAUAGUUUGAACCUAGUCCAAAAUGGUUGAGAAAAGAUGUGUUGGCAAAGGAUAAAGCAAAAAAUCAGAAACCCCAUUGGCUAUUAAUGGAUUUAUAGCAUUGUAUGCUAAUUUUGAUAAGGAUGUGCUUGAUUCCCAAGUCACCCUUUUACCCUUAAGGAGCUGGUGGAGAAUUUUGAAAUAAGCUACACCAGGAUGUGAGUCUAUAUUUUUGAAAAAUUAAGGUAUGGAUGCUAGAGUGUUUUCUCUUUCUUCGGUGUUAAAUGUGUUGUUUGUCAUGCCUAGCAAUUGUGAGCAGAUCACCUUUGAAAGCUAGUAGAGGAAGAACUUGAAGAGGGGAAUUUGUGCAGUAGCUAAUUCUAACUUUAAGGCUUGGCAUUGCAGUCGCCAUUAUGCAUACCUGCAAAUGAAAGAAGUGCUAGAGUGUUAAUAAUGUUCAAUCAGCUAGUGGAAUGUGAAUGCUUUUGUUCAUCAUUCCUUGGUGAUUCUCCUUACAGCUUUGGAGGCUUUUAGUAAUAUGAUGACAUGUGAAAUGAACAAUAUCAGUUGGCGUAUCUGGUGCACUUUUUGAUCUAUUGGGAGCCAUGGUUUCUGAGCUUCUCCUUAAUUGGACAAUCUUUGCAAAAGAGCCUAGAGAAAUUUGGCAGAUAUGCAUAUGGAUGUAUUGAGCUAUUUAAUGGACAGAAGCCAUAUAGCCUUGUAGUCUGCCUUUCUGGAGCAUCAAUCGGCUGAAUGAUUAUGUCAAGUCUAUUUGCCUAUUCUUCAAGCUUUGCAAGUAUAAAAAAAAAAAAAAAAAAAAGGUACUCCUAUAUGGUGCACAGUGUGACAAAAGAUCUUGGCAAUUUAUGCCUCCCAUUGUCGGCGUUCGAUGCAGGCAAGCUUGCAGAUUGUGCAGCCACUUCGUUUAUGCUCAUGGUGUGUGGGUACCUAAAAUUCAGUAUUGCACAAUUAUGUUGUACAAACACUUAGGACUGAAGUAGUAAAUCCAACUAGGGAUUGUACAUUUUAUUUACACUUUUUUUAUAACAUUCUCAAAGUAUUUUUCAUAUGCAUCAUUUAUUCCUAAGAUCCAUUGUAUUUCAACAAUAUUCAAUGCAAGACAAGGAGUGACAUUGAUCUUCAGCUGUAUAUAA